Molecule: ribosomal RNA, 259 nt
Filed under: Pseudomonas sp. ABP10
Lineage: Bacteria; Pseudomonadati; Pseudomonadota; Gammaproteobacteria; Pseudomonadales; Pseudomonadaceae
Description: partial 16S ribosomal RNA
Rfam family: Bacterial small subunit ribosomal RNA
Source: RNAcentral
CAGUCGAGCGGAUGACGGGAGCUUGCUCCUUGAUUCAGCGGCGGACGGGUGAGUAAUGCCUAGGAAUCUGCCUGGUAGUGGGGGACAACGUUUCGAAAGGAACGCUAAUACCGCAUACGUCCUACGGGAGAAAGCAGGGGACCUUCGGGCCUUGCGCUAUCAAAUGAACCUAGGUCGGAUUAACUAGUUGGUGAGGUAAUGGCUCCCCCAGGCGACCAUCCCUAACUGGUCCGAAAGGAAGCCCAGGCCCAAUGGAACU